GGUUGCGAUCAUACCAGCACUAAUGGACCGGAUCCCAUCAGAACUCCGCAGUUAAGCGUGCUUGGGCGAGAGUAGUACUAGGAUGGGUGACCCCCUGGGAAGUCCUCGUGUUGCAACCC
This 119-nucleotide ribosomal RNA is filed under the name Helianthus annuus (common sunflower). Lineage: Eukaryota; Viridiplantae; Streptophyta; Magnoliopsida; Asterales; Asteraceae. The record is from RNAcentral.